This 497-nucleotide ribosomal RNA is filed under the name uncultured bacterium. RNAcentral's name for it is "partial 16S ribosomal RNA". It matches the Rfam family "Bacterial small subunit ribosomal RNA", at positions 28 to 507 of the family's 1533-position model. The record is from RNAcentral.
GAUGAACGCUGGCGGCGUGCCUAAUACAUGCAAGUCGAGCGAACGGACGAGAAGCUUGCUUCUCUGAUGUUAGCGGCGGACGGGUGAGUAACACGUGGAUAACCUACCUAUAAGACUGGGAUAACUUCGGGAAACCGUAGCUAAUACCGGAUAAUAUUUUGAACCGCAUGGUUCAAAAGUGAAAGACGGUCUUGCUGUCACUUAUAGAUGGAUCCGCGCUGCAUUAGCUAGUUGGUAAGGUAACGGCUUACCAAGGCAACGAUGCAUAGCCGACCUGAGAGGGGGGUCGGCCACACUGGAACUGAGACACGGUCCAGACUCCUACGGGAGGCAGCAGUAGGGAAUCUUCCGCAAUGGGCGAAAGCCUGACGGAGCAACGCCGCGUGAGUGAUGAAGGUCUUCGGAUCGUAAAACUCUGUUAUUAGGGAAGAACAUAUGUGUAAGUAACUGUGCACAUCUUGACGGUACCUAAUCAGAAAGCCACGGCUAACUACGUG